AACUGAAUCAUUAAAAAAAAUUGAAUAAUUUAUCCAAAUUCUUAUAUUAAAUUAUAAAUUAUCAUGACACCAUAGAUAAAAGACAAAGUACAGAUGAAGAUGAUGCCCACCCUCUUGGGGAUAAGAUUGUGUUCUCGAAAGACAAUACUAUGAUUGUGUGGGUUCUUUUUUUUUUUCUCUCCAAAAUCAAAGUGCAUUAAUAAAAGUGAUCGAAGCGCAAUUACAUGAGAAAAUCAGAAAAGAAGCAAGCAGGCCCAUGGCUAAGAAGAUCAACAGUAGAAAAUGGUCCACAAGUCCAAACCUAAGAAAAUCCUAACACAGUUGAUCAAUAAGGAGAAGUGCCGCCUUCCUUCCGCCGCAGUGAAGGUGUCAUACAAGCAUGAUAGCUCAUUCAACACAACAAACUCUAAAAAGGGCAACAAACAGACGGUACGAUGCUCAGAAAACAAAGAAUAAGUACAUAACUCAACUGGCACCUACAUUUACAACAAAGAAAGACCAAAAAAGGAGAUGGUGAGAAGACAAAAAACAAGCAGGUGUGGCGGGCUUCAGGAUGUCAACAACAACCGUAGCCAUCCCUCGAAGGCUACUGAACCCUACUCGCCGGAUUUGGACAAAGGGGAGUGGAAAGAGGAGCCCACAGCUGGAUGGAGGGGAGAGGCCUCUCUUACUCGGUGGAGCAGAAAAGGGAAGUUUUAUUGUGGUGAAAUGACUACAAACUCAACUUCAAUUCUGUGUGGGUUCUGUGGGUCCAAUUGAAACUGAGAACUGUAUCCUACUAUUGGAAUGGAAUUAUUUCUAUAAUAACUACACCUUAGUUCAUUAAAAAAAAAAAACAUAAAAUAGGGGUAACGUUAGGAAACUAAUGAAUAAUAAACAUCUAAAAAAGAAAAGUGAUAUGGAAAAAGUAAAAGAAUCUAAUUAUAAUUUUCAUCACCAUAAUUUAUCUCAAGAUACAAAUUCUCAUUCAUAUGAGAUCCAGGCAUAAAUAGUCAAUAAAAGUUCUAACACUAUGUUUUGUAAUACAAUAUAAUAUAAGUUAUGUCAUGUCAUGUAAUAUAGUGGUCAUGUUAUAUGUUUGAUUUCAAACGAAUGUAGGUGGCAAUUGCCAAUCGAUGUUGGCAGAGUGAUAUGGAUAAUGGUGGUGGUGACAACAACCUCCACAUUAGUGAUAGUAGCGGUUAACAAAUAUCAGCCUAAAGCUAAAAGCAUUGAAGAACUCAUUUUGAUCCUCAGUUUAAAAAGGCUAAAUUGAUUAUAAUUGCAUUCAAGGGAGAAAAAUAAAAUAUUACAUCAUUUGGAGUCGUCCUUUAGAAGAUAGUGCCUAGAUUUAGAAAAUGAAUAUUUAAUAAUUAAAACCAUUAUCCACAAAGUCAUUUUCCUCACUGCUGCUGUAAGAUUCAACCACUUGACUAUCAUCAUCGUCAUCCUCAUCUCCCUCGGCCACAAUCUCCAGUAUCCCAGCUCCCCCAUCAAAGUCUACAUCAUCCAUAAUGAAGUCCCCA
Molecule: long non-coding RNA, 1505 nt
Filed under: Manihot esculenta (cassava)
Lineage: Eukaryota; Viridiplantae; Streptophyta; Magnoliopsida; Malpighiales; Euphorbiaceae
Description: long non-coding RNA (MESC_LNC009984)
Source: RNAcentral